Molecule: ribosomal RNA, 497 nt
Filed under: uncultured bacterium
Lineage: Bacteria
Description: partial 16S ribosomal RNA
Rfam family: Bacterial small subunit ribosomal RNA
Source: RNAcentral
GAUGAACGCUGGCGGCGUGCCUAAUACAUGCAAGUCGAGCGAACAGACGAGGAGCUUGCUCCUCUGACGUUAGCGGCGGACGGGUGAGUAACACGUGGAUAACCUACCUAUAAGACUGGGAUAACUUCGGUAAACCGGAGCUAAUACCGGAUAAUAUAUUGAACCGCAUGGUUCAAUAGUGAAAUACGGUUUUGCUGUCACUUAUAGAUGGAUCCGCGCCGCAUUAGCUAGUUGGUAAGGUAACGGCUUACCAAGGCGACGAUGCGUAGCCGACCUGAGAGGGUGAUCGGCCACACUGGAACUGAGACACGGUCCAGACUCCUACGGGAGGCAGCAGUAGGGAAUCUUCCGCAAUGGGCGAAAGCCUGACGGAGCAACGCCGCGUGAGUGAUGAAGGUCUUCGGAUCGUAAAACUCUGUUAUUAGGGAAGAACAAAUGUGUAAGUAACUAUGCACGUCUUGACGGUACCUAAUCAGAAAGCCACGGCUAACUACGUG